CGGCUCAUCGCAUCCUGGGGCUGUAGUCGGUCCCAAGGGUUGGGCUGUUCGCCCAUUAAAGCGGUACGCGAGCUGGGUUCAGAACGUCGUGAGACAGUUCGGUCCCUAUCCGUCGUGGGCGUAGGAAAUUUGAGAGGAGCUGUCCUUAGUACGAGAGGACCGGGAUGGACAUACCUCUGGUGUACCAGUUGUCGUGCCAACGGCAUAGCUGGGUAGCUAUGUGUGGACGGGAUAAGUGCUGAAAGCAUCUAAGCAUGAAGCCCCCCUCAAGAUGAGAUUUCCCAACUUCGGUUAUAAGAUCCCUCAAAGAUGAUGAGGUUAAUAGGUUCGAGGUGGAAGCAUGGUGACAUGUGGAGCUGACGAAUACUAA
Molecule: ribosomal RNA, 370 nt
Filed under: Staphylococcus aureus
Lineage: Bacteria; Bacillati; Bacillota; Bacilli; Caryophanales; Staphylococcaceae
Description: partial 23S ribosomal RNA
Rfam family: Bacterial large subunit ribosomal RNA
Source: RNAcentral